GUUGUUUACAUCUAAAAACGUGGCGACAUCAGCUGAGAUUUGCAGUGGAUUUAAAUGCAAUAACCACACAAUCUUUAAAGAAAAUUGGGAUAAAAUAAGAGACAAGGCAUUGCUUUUCCCUUUUACGAGAAUAUGAGGACAUUAUUAGCAGAAAACUGAGACGAUUUGCACCAGCUUCGUAGAUCCAUCACUGCACUGCAAUUCCAGGCCAGCUGUCAAGAGUUUCAGGCUUAAAGCAUGAAGAAAUAAAAAAUGCAUCAUUUCUCCACAGGGCAUAGCUAUUCCCAAAAUGUUGGACUAAUGGAUUCAUUCAGGCAGCAAGUUAAUCCAUCAUUUAAGGAAAAUGAAUGCAUUUUAUCCACAAGAAGUCAGAACAUAAAGUGAAGGAAAUAAUUUGCACCUGUCCAACAUUCCUAGUCUGUCAUUGGAUUUGAAAAGAAAUGCUUAUUAAAUAAAUUUUCUA
Long non-coding RNA from Saccostrea cuccullata (small rock oyster), 463 nucleotides. RefSeq lists it as uncharacterized. The record is from RefSeq and is a predicted model, not a curated record. The transcript is spliced from 4 exons. Lineage: Eukaryota; Metazoa; Mollusca; Bivalvia; Ostreida; Ostreidae.